CAGUCGCCACGGGAAUACGUAGGUGGCAAGCGUUGUCCGGAAUUAUUGGGCGUAAAGGGCUCGCAGGCGGUUUCUUAAGUCUGAUGUGAAAGCCCCCGGCUCAACCGGGGAGGGUCAUUGGAAACUGGGAAACUUGAGUGCAGAAGAGGAGAGUGGAAUUCCGCGUGUAGCGGUGAAAUACGUAGAGAUGUGGAGGAACACCAGUGGCGAAGGCGACUCUCUGGUCUGUAACUGACGCUGAGGAGCGAAAGCGUGGGGAGCGAACAGGAUUAGAUACCCCCGUAGUCCCUGUCUCUUAUAC
This 301-nucleotide ribosomal RNA is filed under the name uncultured bacterium. RNAcentral describes it as "partial 16S ribosomal RNA". It matches the Rfam family "Bacterial small subunit ribosomal RNA", at positions 509 to 807 of the family's 1533-position model. The record is from RNAcentral.